AUUGAACGCUGGCGGCAGGCCUAACACAUGCAAGUCGAACGAGUGGCGGACGGGUGAGUAAUGUCUGGGAAACUGCCCGAUGGAGGGGGCUAACUACUGGAAACGGUAGCUAAUACCGCAUACCAUCGGCUGUGCCCAGAUGGGAGUAGCUAGUAGGUGGGGUAACGGCUCACCAAGGCGACGAUCCCUAGCUGGUUUGAGGGGACGACCAGCCAGACGAGGACGGGUACACGGCCCAGACUCCUCCGGGAGGCAGCAGUGGGGAAUUUGGGACGAUGGGGGAAACCCUGAUCCAGCCAGCCCGCGUGUGCGAUGAAGUCUUUCGGGUUGUAAAGCACUUUUGGCAGGAAAGCGGUACCUGCAGAAUAAGCACCGGCUAACUACGUGCCAGCAGCCGCGGUAAUUC
Molecule: ribosomal RNA, 406 nt
Filed under: uncultured bacterium
Lineage: Bacteria
Description: partial 16S ribosomal RNA
Rfam family: Bacterial small subunit ribosomal RNA
Source: RNAcentral